AAAGAGACAGCUCUGCAAAUGUUGCCACUCCGCACCACCUCCAACCGCAGGCAGGGCAGACCUUUGGCGAGCAGGUCUGUCGCUGACCUGCUGAGGGAGGCUCGCUCGCCCAAGUCUCUGCAGCCCUUCC
This 130-nucleotide long non-coding RNA is filed under the name Sus scrofa (pig). RNAcentral describes it as "lncRNA (ENSSSCG00015028853.1)". The record is from RNAcentral. Lineage: Eukaryota; Metazoa; Chordata; Mammalia; Artiodactyla; Suidae.